This 513-nucleotide ribosomal RNA is filed under the name Triticum aestivum (bread wheat). Its description in RNAcentral is "partial small subunit ribosomal RNA". The record is from RNAcentral. Lineage: Eukaryota; Viridiplantae; Streptophyta; Magnoliopsida; Poales; Poaceae.
AUGAAGCAUCUCCCCCUGAUGCUUGAGGGUUUAGCCAGAGCUUGGUUGAAUCAGUUGGCCCCUGGGAGUAUUUUAUGCUGGGAAGAGUUGGCCCGAGUGUUUGUCAAAACAUUUGAGGGCACCUGUAAGCGACCUGCUGGGCUGGCCGAGUUGCAGCACUGCGUUCAGAAACAAAAUGAGACUCCGAGAGACUUUAUUCAGAGAUGGACUACCCUUCAUCAUACCAUACAAAAUGUAUCAGAGCACCAGGCAGUGUGCGCCUUCAAAGAGGGCGUUCGAUACAAAGAGCUCAACCUGAAAUUCGGUCGGACUGGGGAUAUGUCCCUGGGUCGAAUGAUGGAAAUAGCCACUCGAUAUGCUAAUGGUGAAGAAGAAGAUCGACUCCGCAGUGGCAAGAUCAAACCAGUCGCCCAGGACGUAGGAGGCAGAGAUUCAAGUCAGAAGCAGAAGCACAAAGCUGAACCUCCAAGUCCUGUUGAGGCUGCAGUUCUGAAAGUUCAAAGGAAAGCCUAA